GUGCUUGCUUCAAGUAGCACAUAUACCAAACUUAAAAAGAUACAGAGAAGAUCAGUGUAUCCCCUGUGUGAAGAUGGCACAAAAGUUCAUGAGGCAAAUAAAGAAAUA
This is a small nuclear RNA of Pteronotus mesoamericanus, 108 nucleotides long. NCBI's taxonomy places the organism in Eukaryota, Metazoa, Chordata, Mammalia, Chiroptera, Mormoopidae. The record is from RefSeq and is a predicted model, not a curated record.